GAUGAACGCUAGCGGCAGGCCUAACACAUGCAAGUCGAGGGAGAGGUUACCUUCGGGUACCCAAAACCGGCGCACGGGUGCGUAACGCGUAUACAAUCUGCCUUUCACAUAGGGAUAGCCCGAAGAAAUUUGGAUUAAUACCUAAUGGUAUAUAAGAGCGGCAUCGUUUUUAUAUUAAAGCUACGGUGGUGAAAGAUGAGUAUGCGUUCUAUUAGCUAGUUGGAGAGGUAACGGCUCCCCAAGGCGACGAUAGAUAGGGGUUCUGAGAGGGAUGUCCCCCACACUGGUACUGAGAUACGGACCAGACUCCUACGGGAGGCAGCAGUGAGGAAGAUUGGACAAUGGUCGGAAGACUGAUCCAGCCAUGCCGCGUGCAGGAUGAAGGUCCUAUGGAUGGUAAACUGCUUUUGUAAGGGAAGAAUAAGGAGUACGUGUACUUUGAUGACGGUACCUUACGAAUAAGCAUCGGCUAACUCCGUG
RNAcentral lists this ribosomal RNA (480 nucleotides) under uncultured bacterium. Its description in RNAcentral is "partial 16S ribosomal RNA". It matches the Rfam family "Bacterial small subunit ribosomal RNA", at positions 28 to 507 of the family's 1533-position model. The record is from RNAcentral.